GCCUGAGUGGCUCAGUGGGUUGAGCGUCCGACUUCGGCUCAGGUCAUGAUCUCACGGUUCGUGGGUUCCAGCCCCACGUCGGGCU
Transfer RNA from Felis catus (domestic cat), 85 nucleotides. It matches the Rfam family "tRNA". Rfam says of the family: Transfer RNA (tRNA) molecules are approximately 80 nucleotides in length. Their secondary structure includes four short double-helical elements and three loops (D, anti-codon, and T loops). The record is from Rfam. NCBI's taxonomy places the organism in Eukaryota, Metazoa, Chordata, Mammalia, Carnivora, Felidae.